AGAGAAGAUAGAGUCCAGCAGUAUUGAAUUAGUCGAUUCCUUGUAUGCAAGGCCUUAUUCAAAUAAUUUAUACGAUCGUCCAGAUAACAUUCUUGAUAGAAAGGCAAUGGAUAAAGAAAAGCGAAUAGAAAUUGAAAGAAAACAAAUUGCGAGUCUAUAUAGUUUUGGAGGAUUUUCAAUGGGAGAAUUUCAAGAUGAAGAGGUAGCAUAUGGUAACGACCGUGGAACAAAAUACGGAAAUAUCAUGUAGAUAUGUGUAUACAACUAUAUAAACUCUUACAUGAUAAGCAACGGUUUCUUAGACAAACAAAUGUUUACCUAUACCAAAAUAUGCAUGUUUACUUGAACAGUAUUAGU
Saccostrea cuccullata (small rock oyster) is the source of this 357-nucleotide long non-coding RNA. RefSeq lists it as uncharacterized. Lineage: Eukaryota; Metazoa; Mollusca; Bivalvia; Ostreida; Ostreidae. The record is from RefSeq and is a predicted model, not a curated record. The transcript is spliced from 3 exons.